AUACAUACAGUCGGUGGCUCUCAGACCGAACACUCGGUACUCCGGUCGCAGAAUUCCUACUUCGAAGUCAUGGAAUGUGAAUGCUAAACCUAAACUACGUCCACAUCGCUCAAAGUAAACGUAUUAUUGUAAAAACCCAGACUUGUUUAGCUUUUCUGGGCUCCGCCGUCAUCGUUUGUUUUGAUCGUUCUCAACUUGUAGGCUCGCCUCGCGUAGCAUUUAGCAGUGUCGUUACUUCCGGUCCACGUCGAAACGUGACGUCACAGUCUGGUCUGAACGGGGCUGGUCCAGACUCCAGGCAAAUGAAACAAGUCAUCAAAAACCCCUGCUCAGAUCUCGAAAAAUUGUCACGGCGCAAGAGCAUGCCGCUGCCCAUUCCUCAGUGCGCUCCGCUAAGCGCAUCUCUGGGCACGCCCUUGCGCGGGCCUCUCCUGCCGCGGCCAGCUGUCUUCAAUCUGCAAUCUACACACCUGACGCUGAUGAGGCUCCACACUUCUUAAGCCAGCGCAACCUGCAAUCCAGCGCCAGAAUGUAGCCCCCUGUAUGCGUUCCUCCGUUUCCUGAUUUCGAGCUGUGUGUCUUGUCUCCCUGAAUUCCCUCUGGUUCCCUGUCUGCCUUCCUGAAUCUCGACCUCUCGCCGGGACACGGACCUUGACGCCUCGCUCCUGCCCCUGACCUCUUGCUUGCCCACAGACCUCCGAGACUGCCUUGCCCUCCCUGACUUCCGCAUCUCUCUCAACACGCACCUUCAACAACUCCUGGUAACACUCAGUUAA
This is a long non-coding RNA of Entelurus aequoreus (snake pipefish), 776 nucleotides long. RefSeq lists it as uncharacterized. The record is from RefSeq and is a predicted model, not a curated record. The transcript has 3 exons. NCBI's taxonomy places the organism in Eukaryota, Metazoa, Chordata, Actinopteri, Syngnathiformes, Syngnathidae.